RNAcentral lists this long non-coding RNA (531 nucleotides) under Ursus maritimus (polar bear). RNAcentral describes it as "lncRNA (ENSUMAG00000023573.1)". The record is from RNAcentral. Lineage: Eukaryota; Metazoa; Chordata; Mammalia; Carnivora; Ursidae.
GGGGACUCGGCCGCCAUGUUAGGAGUGCCGGGAACAGUCCGCGGAUCCUGGCUGAGGUUUUAGGCAGCGCGCGAGCCGAAUGGUGGUGCGGUGGGGACGAGUGUCUACACUAUGAAAGAUGGAAAAUUUCUUUUUCUCCUGAGGUACAACAAUGGGAAAGGCUCAUACAAAUAUUUCUGGUAUUCAGAAACACCUUUGCAAGUAAUUGUGGACACAGAUGCCAAAAUUUAAAAAGUACUUCUGCAUACGUAUAUUCAGUGAAAAAUCAAACUCUACCACAUGGACAAGCAUUGCUUAAUUAAGGUGUGUAAUACAGUUUUGGGGGUUUUUUUUUAGGGAAAUGAACAAAUUAUAUCUUCAUCUAAAGCAUUUGAUUAAAGAAAUUAAGCCCUACAGUACUCUAUUAUAGACAUCCAAAGUAUCAAUAUUUGGGGGCACAGUUUCAAUCCUAAAUCCAUUUCUUAGAUUCUGUAAGUACAUAUUGAGUAAUUACCAACUUAAAUACCCUGGAGAUACAAAGAUGACUAUGAC